This 1561-nucleotide long non-coding RNA is filed under the name Homo sapiens (human). Its description in RNAcentral is "long non-coding RNA NONHSAT191586.1". Lineage: Eukaryota; Metazoa; Chordata; Mammalia; Primates; Hominidae. The record is from RNAcentral.
UCCGGGCGGAGACCGCUUGUGCUGGAGUCGGAGUUGUAACGCUCCACUGACUGAUAGAGCGACCGGCCGACCAUGGCGCCCGGAGUGGCCCGCGGGCCGACGCCGUACUGGAGGUUGCGCCUCGGUGGCGCCGCGCUGCUCCUGCUGCUCAUCCCGGUGGCCGCCGCGCAGGAGCCUCCCGGAGCUGCUUGUUCUCAGAACACAAACAAAACCUGUGAAGAGUGCCUGAAGAACGUCUCCUGUCUUUGGUGCAACACUAACAAGGCUUGUCUGGACUACCCAGUUACAAGCGUCUUGCCACCGGCUUCCCUUUGUAAAUUGAGCUCUGCACGCUGGGGAGUUUGUUGGGGUAAGUCAUUGCGCUGAUCAUCACCAUGUCGGUAGUCGGGGGAACCCUCCUCCUGGGCAUUGCCAUCUGCUGCUGCUGCUGCUGCAGGAGGAAGAGGAGCCGGAAGCCGGACAGGAGUGAGGAGAAGGCCAUGCGUGAGCGGGAGGAGAGGCGGAUACGGCAGGAGGAACGGAGAGCAGAGAUGAAGACAAGACAUGAUGAAAUCAGAAAAAAAUAUGGCCUGUUUAAAGAAGAAAACCCGUAUGCUAGAUUUGAAAACAACUAAAGCGCUCCAGCACAUCAGUCCCGACGCUUCCUGUGAGGUGCACGCUCCGCAGCCCAGCCCAGCCGGGAGACCACGUGGCCAUUGCGGUCUCCUGACCUUGGCCAGUGAACCUGCCAGCCUUCCAGGACAGGCGGCCGGAGAGCUGCCCCUGAAGGACAGUCCUCUCGUCUUGCAGACUGGUGACCUUCUAUUCCCUGUUCAUCUCUGUUUCUAGAUUUAGUCACUUGAAAUAAGAAAUCUUUGGGGUUUGGGCUUUUUUAUACUCUUCUCAGUUUGUGAAACGCUAACUGCACACGAAGCCGCCUGACGGCACCCAGCGCUGUGGCUGUCAUUCUCCCAGGGCAGAACCCUGCGUUUCUCUCUGUCCACUAACAAGCUUCACACGCAACACAGGGAAGUCGGUUUGACUUUUGUCAUGAGGAGAACUGACCAGCCCUCAUCAUUCCCCAUAAAACCACGGACAGCGUCUGUGUGCGCAUCUUGAGUCUUCACACCUGUUGACUCACACGGCUUUUGCUGAUGACACGGGGCUCCAGUACACAGUCUGAUAAGGACUUAACGUCCUAACCUCAAUUGUAUUAAAUAGCAUUGGGGAAUAGCUAAACCUUUUUAAAAAAAUUUAUUGGAUUUUCCUCCCUGCUUAAAAGAUUUCACCAGAAAACCUUCAUAUAAAAAUUCAGGCCCUUUUUGGACAAUUUUUAAAAUUUGUAUCUUUACUAGAACAUGAGAAUCUUUUUCCCUUGGAAGCUUGAAUUAUAAAUGUGGUGUUUGGCCUGCCUCAGCAGCACCAGUUGACUGCUCGUGUGCCAGCGGUGUGGGGAGGACGGGGCAGGACGCUGCAGCUCUCUCCAGCCCUGUUGGCAUCCUCAGUGCCUGCAGGCCUCUCGCUGCCUGUUGGGCUGUCUGGGGGGUGGCCAUUUAGGGAUCGUGGGGACGGGGUCCACCCC